This 497-nucleotide ribosomal RNA is filed under the name uncultured bacterium. RNAcentral's name for it is "partial 16S ribosomal RNA". It matches the Rfam family "Bacterial small subunit ribosomal RNA", at positions 28 to 507 of the family's 1533-position model. The record is from RNAcentral.
GAUGAACGCUGGCGGCGUGCCUAAUACAUGCAAGUCGAACGAACGAGCGAGAACCUUUCUUCUCGGAUUGUAGCGGCGGACGGGUGGUUAACACGUGGAUAGCCUACCUAUACGACUGUGAUGACUUCGGGAAGCCGUAGCUGCUACCAGAUGAUAUUUUGAACCUGAUGGUUCAAAAGUGAGAGAAGGUCUUUCUUUCACUUAUAGAUGGAUCCGCGCUGCAUUAGCUAGUUGGUAAGGUAACGGCUUACCAAGGCAACGAUGAAUAGCCGCCCUGAGAGGGUGAUCGGCAACACUGUAACUGCGACAAGGCCCACACUACUACGGGAGGAAGCAGUAGGGAAUCUUACGGCAGGAGCGAAAGCAUGACGGAGCAACGACGCGUGAGUGAUGAAGGUCUUCGGAUCGUAAAGCUCUGUUAUCAGGGAAGAACAUAUGUGUAAGUAACUGUGAACAUCUUGACGGUACCUAAUCAGAAAGCGACGGCUAACUACGUG